RNAcentral lists this ribosomal RNA (201 nucleotides) under uncultured bacterium. RNAcentral's name for it is "partial 16S ribosomal RNA". It matches the Rfam family "Bacterial small subunit ribosomal RNA", at positions 1302 to 1500 of the family's 1533-position model. The record is from RNAcentral.
AGUCUGCAACUCGACUACAUGAAGCUGGAAUCGCUAGUAAUCGCAGAUCAGAAUGCUGCGGUGAAUACGUUCCCGGGUCUUGUACACACCGCCCGUCACACCAUGGGAGUCGGAAAUGCCCGGAAGCCGGUGACCAAACCAAUAAGGAAGGAGCCGUCGAAGGCAGGUCUGAUAACUGGGGUGAAGUCGUAACAAGGUAGC